Molecule: ribosomal RNA, 649 nt
Filed under: Parallelostrombidium paralatum
Lineage: Eukaryota; Ciliophora; Spirotrichea; Strombidiidae
Description: LSU rRNA
Rfam family: Eukaryotic large subunit ribosomal RNA
Source: RNAcentral
UAAGCGGAGGAGAAGAAAUUAACUAAGAUGUCCUUAGUAAAGGCGAUUGAAGUGGCCAAAGCCCAAGAUGGAAAUCUUCGUGUUUGGCACGACGAAUUGUAAUCUAGAGAGUCAGGACUCAACAGGUGGUGGUGCAGAAGUGCCCUGGAACGGGCCGCCAAAGAGGGUGACAGCCCCGUCUGUGGUGCCGCCGCCUAACGAGUUCGGCUUCAAAGAGUCGGGUUGUUUUGUAUUGCAGCCCUAAGUGGGAGAUAAACUUCUUCUAAGGCUAAAUAUAUGUGGGAAACCGAUAGCGAACAAGUACUGUGAAGGAAAGAUGAAAAGCACUUUGAAAAGAGAGUUAAAAGACCUGAAACCGUUGAGGAGGAAGCGGUAGAGAUGAAUUCUACGGUGAGGCAUGGGGAAAAUAGCUUAACCAUGGCGAAUGAAAGUACGUCAAAGGCAAUUGUUUGUCCAAGGGGAAGCUAUUGACUUAUGUGGCAUCGUGAGGCAAGAUGGAGUGAUAUCACUGCAGAGGCCUUGCAGGUUUGGCUUGACUUGUCGAGCAGCCUGUGAGUGCUGGUAGAGGUAUGGCUUGAGGGUGCUUAGUGCGAUCUUGUCAAAAUGGUCUUUACCGACCCGUCUUGAAACACGGACCAAGGAGUCUAAC